CGCGAAGGAAAAAACCACCGCGCUCGACGUGCAGGCCCCGCACCCGUCCGCUUUCUCCUCCAGCGAAUCGAGCGGGCAGCGAGCGACAGCAAAAGGAACGCUCCCCACGCGCAUGAACCCUAGCCGCCGCUCUCCUCUCCCAUGACCCGCAACCACCACCGCUCCUCUCUCCUCUGCCUCGACUCCCAACCAUCCAACCCAAACUCCGGCGGCCUCCUAUCCCUCCAGCGCCGCCGCUCCAGCCACACCUUCCUUCCUCUCCAAAGGAAGGGAAGGGAAGUGAAGGGGAGGGGAGGCCCCAGAUCGAGCGGAGCGACGCCCAGAUCCGCAGCGGCACCGGCACCAGCGCGCCGUCGUCCACCUGGUCCUCGAGGAAGGCCAUGGAUGGGGGCAGAACCCUAGCCCCACACCCAUCCAUCACGGCGGUGGCCUUCUCUCGGUGGGGUGGGGAGCGAAGUUUUCUGAUGUGGUGGCCCUCGACGCCUGCGACGGGCUGCAGCACCUUGGCUUCAAAGGUAGCCAUCACAAUGGAAACAGAAGGAUGAGCACCAUGGCGGGCGUGCAGGUGCAGGCCAUCGCCAUCGCCAAGUCCCCUAGAUUGACAAGCGGACGGCCGGAUCCAAGACCAAGCACCCCGGUGGGCUUCCUGCUCAGGCUCCUCAACGCCACGACGGCUGCGGGAUCCACGACCAUGGCUGCACGAGCGCCCAGAUGCAGGGCGGUUCCGAACCCAAAGCGCAGUUUGCAGGCAGUACGAGGGCAGUUCAUGAAUAUACUUGUGCGCUUUUACUCUCAGGAAUUCAACAUAUUGAACCUUCAAGAUGGCUUGAAAUGGGCCUGGACAAUGUUUUGUUGACCAGCAAGGUUAUGUUUCCUCUGAUUGGCUUGCUUGAUUAGGUCUUUGUACAUAUUCCAUGAACUCCUGCGUUUGUGCCGUCAGGUUGGCUGUCUAUAAUUUUUGGGGUUCGCCUGACAUACGGUCGUCAUCGCCUUGCCGUGGCUCCACCAAGCGAUCUUUCCUCGCCAAUGCAGUCAGCUGGGCGAUACUGAUGGAUUGAUUUGAAUUUGGAUGAUUCUAUUGAGUCGGUGUGCAACAAUGCAAAUCAGAUUCAUCAUCUACAAGAGUCGGUGUCCAACCAUGUCCUCCUAUAGAGCUCAUGUUCCUAUGCUUGCGUAGAAGAUUAUGAUAUGGAAGUACUCUUGACUUUCCAUGAUUUUGGUACUGGAUUAUUGGUCACACAUAUGAGAGUUGUGAACCGGGGACGAUCAUGUAUUUCAUAAGCGAGCAAGGGUCCUGGGUACCUGCAUGAUUAAGGAAGAAAUUGGUUAUUACUAAAUGUGCUAUUGCAUAUCAAAGGUACAUAUUGAAGGAUGUUCUGAGGCUAGCACCUGGUUUAGAAGUUUUGCAAUUCACAGCAAUACCUCAUAAUUUUGAUUUGAUGUCCAGAAUGUCAAUUGAAGAAUGAGCCUACAAACUACAUUGUAGUUUGUAAUAUAUCCUUAUAUAUGGUGCUUGUGUUUUUUUUUUCAAUUAUAAGUUUACAUUUAUGGGUAUUACAAAGUCCCCCUUUCUUUUUCCACAAGGGGCAGUAGCUGUGCCAUUCGAUUCGAAGGACAAAGAGUUGAUCACAACGGGGUAGCAUUCAGGAUAUAUACACAAGAGUAUAGAACCAAAUUAUAUGAUGUAAUUGACCACUAUUUCUAUUAACUUUUCUUGUACACAAUGUUACAAGUUCAUGUAUUAGGUACAUUUUAUUGUUUACUCUCUUUUUUAAUGCAAGUUUACAG
This 1788-nucleotide ribosomal RNA is filed under the name Triticum aestivum (bread wheat). RNAcentral describes it as "partial small subunit ribosomal RNA". The record is from RNAcentral. Lineage: Eukaryota; Viridiplantae; Streptophyta; Magnoliopsida; Poales; Poaceae.